AACGCACCUUGCGCCUCUUGGUAUUCCGAGAGGCAUGCCUGUUUGAGUGUCAUGAAAUCUCAAUCCCCUCGGGUUUUAGGACCCGGGUCGGACUUGGACAUGGGCGUCUGCCGGUCAAACGGCUCGCCUCAAAUGACUUAGUGGAUCUCUCAGCAUCCGUGACAGACGUAAUAAGUUUCGUCUUGUCCUUUGCAGAUGAGUCCGCUCACAACCUGCCAUCGCGCACUUUUAGACUCUGACCUCAAAUCAGGUAGGACUACCCGCUGAACUUAA
This 273-nucleotide unclassified non-coding RNA is filed under the name uncultured fungus. RNAcentral describes it as "partial contains 5.8S ribosomal RNA, internal transcribed spacer 2, and large subunit ribosomal RNA". The stretch from base 1 to 52 matches the Rfam family "5.8S ribosomal RNA", at positions 103 to 154 of the family's 154-position model. The record is from RNAcentral. Lineage: Eukaryota; Fungi.